GGCGGCAGGCUUAACACAUGCAAGUCGAGCGGUAACAGGAAUUAGCUUGCUAAUUUGCUGACGAGCGGCGGACGGGUGAGUAACGCGUAGGAAUCUGCCUAGUAGUGGGGGACAACAUGUGGAAACGCAUGCUAAUACCGCAUACGCCCUACGGGGGAAAGGAGGGGAUCUUCGGACCUUUCGCUAUUAGAUGAGCCUGCGUGAGAUUAGCUAGUUGGUGGGGUAAAGGCCUACCAAGGCGACGAUCUCUAGCUGGUCUGAGAGGAUGAUCAGCCACACUGGGACUGAGACACGGCCCAGACUCCUACGGGAGGCAGCAGUGGGGAAUAUUGGACAAUGGGCGCAAGCCUGAUCCAGCCAUGCCGCGUGUGUGAAGAAGGCCUUAGGGUUGUAAAGCACUUUCAGGAGUGAGGAAGGUUACAUAGUUAAUACCUGUGUAAUUUGACGUUAACUCCAGAAGAAGCACCGGCUAACUCUGUGCCAGCAGCCGCGGUAAUACAGAGGGUGCGAGCGUUAAUCGGAAUUACUGGGCGUAAAGCGCGCGUAGGCGGUUUGUUAAGUCGGAUGUGAAAUCCCAGGGCUCAACCUUGGAAUGGCACCCGAUACUGGCAGGCUAGAGUACGGUAGAGGGGUGUGGAAUUUCCUGUGUAGCGGUGAAAUGCGUAGAUAUAGGAAGGAACAUCAGUGGCGAAGGCGACACCCUGGACCGAUACUGACGCUGAGGUGCGAA
RNAcentral lists this ribosomal RNA (730 nucleotides) under Marinomonas sp. R941. RNAcentral's name for it is "bacterial SSU rRNA". It matches the Rfam family "Bacterial small subunit ribosomal RNA", at positions 38 to 757 of the family's 1533-position model. Lineage: Bacteria; Pseudomonadati; Pseudomonadota; Gammaproteobacteria; Oceanospirillales; Oceanospirillaceae. RNAcentral also lists the same sequence under 2 other names. The record is from RNAcentral.